This 1444-nucleotide ribosomal RNA is filed under the name uncultured organism. RNAcentral describes it as "SSU rRNA". It matches the Rfam family "Bacterial small subunit ribosomal RNA". The record is from RNAcentral.
UAGCUACAGGCUUAACACAUGCAAGUCGAGGGGCAGCAUGGUCUUAGCUUGCUAAGGCCGAUGGCGACCGGCGCACGGGUGAGUAACACGUAUCCAACCUGCCGUCUACUCUUGGACAGCCUUCUGAAAGGAAGAUUAAUACAAGAUGGCAUCAUGAGUCCGCAUGUUCACAUGAUUAAAGGUAUUCCGGUAGACGAUGGGGAUGCGUUCCAUUAGAUAGUAGGCGGGGUAACGGCCCACCUAGUCUUCGAUGGAUAGGGGUUCUGAGAGGAAGGUCCCCCACAUUGGAACUGAGACACGGUCCAAACUCCUACGGGAGGCAGCAGUGAGGAAUAUUGGUCAAUGGGCGAGAGCCUGAACCAGCCAAGUAGCGUGAAGGAUGACUGCCCUAUGGGUUGUAAACUUCUUUUAUAAAGGAAUAAAGUCGGGUAUGGAUACCCGUUUGCAUGUACUUUAUGAAUAAGGAUCGGCUAACUCCGUGCCAGCAGCCGCGGUAAUACGGAGGAUCCGAGCGUUAUCCGGAUUUAUUGGGUUUAAAGGGAGCGUAGAUGGAUGUUUAAGUCAGUUGUGAAAGUUUGCGGCUCAACCGUAAAAUUGCAGUUGAUACUGGAUAUCUUGAGUGCAGUUGAGGCAGGCGGAAUUCGUGGUGUAGCGGUGAAAUGCUUAGAUAUCACGAAGAACUCCGAUUGCGAAGGCAGCCUGCUAAGCUGCAACUGACAUUGAGGCUCGAAAGUGUGGGUAUCAAACAGGAUUAGAUACCCUGGUAGUCCACACGGUAAACGAUGAAUACUCGCUGUUUGCGAUAUACUGCAAGCGGCCAAGCGAAAGCGUUAAGUAUUCCACCUGGGGAGUACGCCGGCAACGGUGAAACUCAAAGGAAUUGACGGGGGCCCGCACAAGCGGAGGAACAUGUGGUUUAAUUCGAUGAUACGCGAGGAACCUUACCCGGGCUUAAAUUGCAGAUGAAUUACGGUGAAAGCCGUAAGCCGCAAGGCAUCUGUGAAGGCGCUGCAUGGUUGUCGUCAGCUCGUGCCGUGAGGUGUCGGCUUAAGUGCCAUAACGAGCGCAACCCUUGUUGUCAGUUACUAACAGGUUCCGCUGAGGACUCUGACAAGACUGCCAUCGUAAGAUGUGAGGAAGGUGGGGAUGACGUCAAAUCAGCACGGCCCUUACGUCCGGGGCUACACACGUGUUACAAUGGGGGGUACAGAGGGCCGCUACCACGCGAGUGGAUGCCAAUCCCCAAAACCUCUCUCAGUUCGGACUGGAGUCUGCAACCCGACUCCACGAAGCUGGAUUCGCUAGUAAUCGCGCAUCAGCCACGGCGCGGUGAAUACGUUCCCGGGCCUUGUACACACCGCCCGUCAAGCCAUGGGAGCCGGGGGUACCUGAAGUGCGUAACCGCGAGGAGCGCCCUAGGGUAAAACUGGUGACUGGGGCUAAG